This 560-nucleotide ribosomal RNA is filed under the name Enterobacter sp. ENJ-S-1. RNAcentral describes it as "bacterial SSU rRNA". It matches the Rfam family "Bacterial small subunit ribosomal RNA", at positions 90 to 646 of the family's 1533-position model. The record is from RNAcentral. Lineage: Bacteria; Pseudomonadati; Pseudomonadota; Gammaproteobacteria; Enterobacterales; Enterobacteriaceae.
GACAAGCGUGGGAGGGGUGAGUAAUGUCUGGGAAACUGCCUGAUGGAGGGGGAUAACUACUGGAAACGGUAGCUAAUACCGCAUAACGUCGCAAGACCAAAGAGGGGGACCUUCGGGCCUCUUGCCAUCAGAUGUGCCCAGAUGGGAUUAGCUAGUAGGUGGGGUAACGGCUCACCUAGGCGACGAUCCCUAGCUGGUCUGAGAGGAUGACCAGCCACACUGGAACUGAGACACGGUCCAGACUCCUACGGGAGGCAGCAGUGGGGAAUAUUGCACAAUGGGCGCAAGCCUGAUGCAGCCAUGCCGCGUGUAUGAAGAAGGCCUUCGGGUUGUAAAGUACUUUCAGCGGGGAGGAAGGUGUUGAGGUUAAUAACCUUGUCAAUUGACGUUACCCGCAGAAGAAGCACCGGCUAACUCCGUGCCAGCAGCCGCGGUAAUACGGAGGGUGCAAGCGUUAAUCGGAAUUACUGGGCGUAAAGCGCACGCAGGCGGUCUGUCAAGUCGGAUGUGAAAUCCCCGGGCUCAACCUGGGAACUGCAUUCGAAACUGGCAGGCUAGAG